RNAcentral lists this transfer RNA (73 nucleotides) under Clytia hemisphaerica. Its description in RNAcentral is "tRNA-Thr for anticodon CGU". It matches the Rfam family "tRNA". Rfam says of the family: Transfer RNA (tRNA) molecules are approximately 80 nucleotides in length. Their secondary structure includes four short double-helical elements and three loops (D, anti-codon, and T loops). Further hydrogen bonds mediate the characteristic L-shaped molecular structure. tRNAs have two regions of fundamental functional importance: the anti-codon, which is responsible for specific mRNA codon recognition, and the 3' end, to which the tRNAs corresponding amino acid is attached (by aminoacyl-tRNA synthetases). tRNAs cope with the degeneracy of the genetic code in two manners: having more than one tRNA (with a specific anti-codon) for a particular amino acid; and 'wobble' base-pairing, i.e. permitting non-standard base-pairing at the 3rd anti-codon position. The record is from RNAcentral. Lineage: Eukaryota; Metazoa; Cnidaria; Hydrozoa; Leptothecata; Clytiidae.
GGCACUGUAGCUUUGUGGAUAAAGCGCCUGUCGCGUAAAUAGGAGAUCCGCAGUUCAAAUCUGGGUAGUGCCU